Non-coding RNA from Vicia faba (fava bean), 204 nucleotides. The record is from the annotation of a GenBank genome assembly. NCBI's taxonomy places the organism in Eukaryota, Viridiplantae, Streptophyta, Magnoliopsida, Fabales, Fabaceae.
AUGCAUCAACCCUUUCUCUUUCGGCACUGUUUGACCACUGCUCAUUUCUUCCAUUUUCUCUCUCUUAAUAUUCAUUUUUUUCUUCUCUCUCUUCACUUCAAUAUUCUUCAUUCUCUCUCUCAAAUCUUCAAACUACAAUUUUUUUCUGUCUUUGAAUCGCUUCACUUUGAGUUGCAUGAGCUCUCAUUUCUUCAGCAGAGAUAA